Molecule: long non-coding RNA, 776 nt
Organism: Bicyclus anynana (squinting bush brown)
Lineage: Eukaryota; Metazoa; Arthropoda; Insecta; Lepidoptera; Nymphalidae
Exons: 3
Source: RefSeq, a predicted model, not a curated record
ACAAAUUGACUUUUCGUUUUGUAAUUUUGUUGGUUCAAAUCAAAAUCAAAAACAUUUAUUUAAAAUUAAAAUUAAAUGAUGCGAUGCGUCUCUUUCCUUAAAUAAUUUAUAAAUCGACUUCAAAUUGUAUUUAUUUAUUGUAAUGUUUCAUAUUUUUUCUUUAUUGCUUCUUUUUGUGAGUUGGUGCUCUGCCGAGACCAAUCUUAGUCUUUCUAUCAAAGUCAAUAAUACUGAAAACAUAUUGUGUCGAGAGUGUGGUACUCCGAUACUGACAUCUGAUACAAUAAUCUCAAAGCCUAGUGCCGCGUCACAACAUUCAUUUAACGACACAAUAUUCAGCAAGAAGGAAGUGUUGGUCCAGCUCCUAGUACAGGAUAUAUUUCUGCGAUAUCCCAUUAUAACAUCUAGUGAAGCCACUUGCAUUGGGAAAGGAGAUUUGUAAACUCUCUUCUUACUUUCCCCUCAACUCACUAUGGAGACUAGUCUAUCUGUAGAAGACAAAGAUUUUUUAGCGAAAUGUGAAGAAGAACUCAAGGAUCGUUAUACUGAAAAAGAUGAGGAAUUCAUGAAAGUGUACAACAGACAACCUUCUAUCCCACCCAUAAUGGAAAACUUCAGUCAAUCCCGAAACUAUGGACGUAGGAAUGAUCGACGUUACAAUAGAUACAACCCACACGAUCGACAAGGAUCUAGGAAUUAUGAUAGAAAUCGAGAUAGAGGUCCUAGAGGCUAUAAUGAUUACAAUCGCUCUAGUUAUUAAAACUAUUUUGUCUCGA